This 253-nucleotide ribosomal RNA is filed under the name uncultured bacterium. RNAcentral's name for it is "partial 16S ribosomal RNA". It matches the Rfam family "Bacterial small subunit ribosomal RNA", at positions 524 to 776 of the family's 1533-position model. The record is from RNAcentral.
UACGUAGGGCGCAAGCGUUGUCCGGAAUUAUUGGGCGUAAAGAGCUCGUAGGCGGCUUGUCACGUCGAUUGUGAAAGCCCGAGGCUUAACCUCGGGUCUGCAGUCGAUACGGGCUAGCUAGAGUGUGGUAGGGGAGAUCGGAAUUCCUGGUGUAGCGGUGAAAUGCGCAGAUAUCAGGAGGAACACCGGUGGCGAAGGCGGAUCUCUGGGCCGAUACUGACGCUGAGGAGCGAAAGCGUGGGGAGCGAACAGG